This 245-nucleotide unclassified non-coding RNA is filed under the name Scirpoides holoschoenus subsp. thunbergii. RNAcentral's name for it is "partial ITS2". The record is from RNAcentral. Lineage: Eukaryota; Viridiplantae; Streptophyta; Magnoliopsida; Poales; Cyperaceae.
GCCCAUCAACGCUCUGCCUCCCUCCACGUACCUCGUGGCGGGGAGCCGGCCAGAUGCGGACACUGACCCUCCGAGCCAUAAUAGGUGCGGUGGGUUGAAGUGCGCGGUCGUCGGAUGGUGCCGGGAUUGGUGAGUGGUGGGCUACUGCGCAUGCCGACCCCGGCUCCAUUCCCGACAGAUGGCCCUUUUCGAACCCCUAACAAGGAGAUUGCGGUCGCGGCGUCGCUGUGCCGCAUCUUCGAACC